Molecule: ribosomal RNA, 253 nt
Filed under: uncultured bacterium
Lineage: Bacteria
Description: partial 16S ribosomal RNA
Rfam family: Bacterial small subunit ribosomal RNA
Source: RNAcentral
UACGGAGGGGGCUAGCGUUGUUCGGAAUUACUGGGCGUAAAGCGCACGUAGGCGGAUCAGUCAGUCAGGGGUGAAAUCCCGGGGCUCAACCCCGGAACUGCCUUUGAUACUGCUGGUCUGGAGGUCGAGAGAGGUGAGUGGAAUUCCGAGUGUAGAGGUGAAAUUCGUAGAUAUUCGGAGGAACACCAGUGGCGAAGGCGGCUCACUGGAUCGGUACUGACGCUGAGGUGCGAAAGCGUGGGGAGCAAACAGG